This 253-nucleotide ribosomal RNA is filed under the name uncultured bacterium. Its description in RNAcentral is "partial 16S ribosomal RNA". It matches the Rfam family "Bacterial small subunit ribosomal RNA", at positions 524 to 776 of the family's 1533-position model. The record is from RNAcentral.
GACGUAGGGGGCCAGCGUUGCUCGGAAUUACUGGGCGUAAAGGGUUCGUAGGCGGUGCGGUAAGUCGGAAGUGAAAUCUCUGGGCUUAACCCAGAGGCUGCUUUCGAAACUGCUGUGCUAGAGUGCGGGAGAGGCGAGUGGAAUUACAGGUGUAGCGGUGAAAUGCGUAGAUAUCAGGAGGAACACCGAUGGCGAAGGCAGCUUUCUGGUCUAAGACUGACGCUGAGGUGCGAAAGCGUGGGGAGCAAACAGG